Molecule: ribosomal RNA, 495 nt
Filed under: uncultured bacterium
Lineage: Bacteria
Description: partial 16S ribosomal RNA
Rfam family: Bacterial small subunit ribosomal RNA
Source: RNAcentral
GACGAACGCUGGCGGCGUGCCUAAUACAUGCAAGUAGAACGCUGAAGGAGGAGCUUGCUUCUCUGGAUGAGUUGCGAACGGGUGAGUAACGCGUAGGUAACCUGCCUGGUAGCGGGGGAUAACUAUUGGAAACGAUAGCUAAUACCGCAUAAGAGUAGAUGUUGCAUGACAUUUGCUCAAAAGGUGCAAUUGCAUCACUACCAGAUGGACCUGCGUUGUAUUAGCUAGUUGGUGGGGUAACGGCUCACCAAGGCGACGAUACAUAGCCGACCUGAGAGGGGGAGCAGCCAGACUGGGACGGUGACACGGCCCAGUCUGCUACAGGAGGCGGCAGGAGGGAAUCUUCGGCAAUGGGCGGAAGUCUGACCGAGCAACGCCGAGGGAGUGAAGAAGGAUGUCGGAUCGGAAAGCUCGGUUGUAAGAGAGGAACGAGUGUGAGGGUGGAAAGUUCACAAUGUGACGGUAGCUUAACAGAAAGGGACGGCUAACUACGUG